Trichonephila inaurata madagascariensis is the source of this 81-nucleotide non-coding RNA. The record is from the annotation of a GenBank genome assembly. NCBI's taxonomy places the organism in Eukaryota, Metazoa, Arthropoda, Arachnida, Araneae, Nephilidae.
GUAGUUGUGGCCGAGGGGUCAAGGCGCCAGGCAAUGGAUCUGAGGUUCAUCUCGCCGUGGGUUCGAAUCCCACCAACUACC